RNAcentral lists this ribosomal RNA (460 nucleotides) under uncultured bacterium. RNAcentral describes it as "partial 16S ribosomal RNA". It matches the Rfam family "Bacterial small subunit ribosomal RNA", at positions 338 to 795 of the family's 1533-position model. The record is from RNAcentral.
CCUACGGGUGACAGCAGUGAGGAAUAUUGGUCAAUGGGCGCGAGCCUGAACCAGCCAAGUCGCGUGAGGGAAGACGGCCCUACGGGUUGUAAACCUCUUUUGCCGGGGAGCAACGGGCGCCACGUGUGGCGCCACUGAGAGUACCCGGAGAAACAGCAUCGGCUAACUCCGUGCCAGCAGCCGCGGUAAUACGGGGGAUGCGAGCGUUAUCCGGAUUUAUUGGGGUAAAAGGCUGCGUAGGCGGAGCGUUAAGUCAGUGGUCAAAUUGGGGGGCUAACCCCCUUCCCGCCAUUGAAACUGGCGCUCUUGAGUGGAAGAGAGGUAGGCGGAAUGCGUGGUGUAGCGGUGAAAUGCAUAGAUAUCACGCAGAACACCGAUGGCGAAGGCAGCAUGCCGGCUUCCGACUGACGCUGAAGCACGAAAGCGUGGGGAUCGAACAGGAUUAGAUACCCUAGUAGUC